GAUGAACGCUGGCGGCGUGCCUAAUACAUGCAAGUCGAGCGAACAGAUAAGGAGCUUGCUCCUUUGACGUUAGCGGCGGACGGGUGAGUAACACGUGGAUAACCUUCCUAUAAGACUGGGAUAACUUCGGGAAACCGGAGCUAAUACCGGCUAACAUAUUGAACCGCAUGGUUCAAUAGUGAAAGGCGGCUUUGCUGUCACUUAUAGAUGGUUCCGCGCCGUAUUAGCUAGUUGGUAAGGUAACGGCUUACCAAGGCAACGAUACGUAGCCGACCUGAGAGGGUGAUCGGCCACACUGGAACUGAGACACGGUCCAGACUCCUACGGGAGGCAGCAGUAGGGAAUCUUGCGCAAUGGGCGAAAGCCUGACGGAGCAACGCCGCGUGUGUGAUGAAGGUCUUCGGAUCGUAAAACUCUGUUAUCAGGGAAGAACAAAUGUGUAAGUAACUGUGCACUUCUUGACGGUACCUGAUCAGGAAGCCACGGCUAACUACGUG
RNAcentral lists this ribosomal RNA (497 nucleotides) under uncultured bacterium. RNAcentral describes it as "partial 16S ribosomal RNA". It matches the Rfam family "Bacterial small subunit ribosomal RNA", at positions 28 to 507 of the family's 1533-position model. The record is from RNAcentral.